Molecule: ribosomal RNA, 433 nt
Filed under: uncultured bacterium
Lineage: Bacteria
Description: partial 16S ribosomal RNA
Rfam family: Bacterial small subunit ribosomal RNA
Source: RNAcentral
AACGAACGCUGGCGGCAUGCCUAACACAUGCAAGUCGAACGAGACCUUCGGGUCUAGUGGCGCACGGGUGCGUAACGCAUGGGAACCUGCCCUUAGGUUCGGAAUAACUCCCCGAAAGGGGUGCUAAUACCGGAUAAUGUCUUCGGACCAAAGAUUUAUCGCCUUUGGAUGGGCCCGCGUUGGAUUAGCUAGUUGGUAGGGUAAAAGCAUACCAAGGCGACGAUCCAUAGCUGGUCUGAGAGGAUGACCAGCCACACUGGGACUGAGACACGGCCCAGACUCCUACGGGAGGCAGCAGUGGGGAAUAUUGGACAAUGGGCGAAAGCCUGAUCCAGCAAUGCCGCGUGAGUGAGGAAGGCCUUAGGGUUGUAAAGCUCUUUUACCCGGGAUGAUAAUGACAGUACCGGGAGAAUAAGCUCCGGCUAACUCCGUG